GACGAACGCUGGCGGCGUGCUUAACACAUGCAAGUCGAACGGAAAGGCCCUGCUUUUGUGGGGUGCUCGAGUGGCGAACGGGUGAGUAACACGUGAGUAACCUGCCCUUGACCUUGGGAUAACUUCAGGAAACUGGGGCUAAUACCGGAUAGGAGCUCCCGCUGCAUGGUGGGGGUUGGAAAGUUUCGGCGGUUGGGGAUGGACUCGCGGCCUAUCAGCUUGAUGGGUGGGUAGUGGCUUACCAAGGCUUGGCCGGGUAGCCGGCCUGGGAGGGUGACCGGACACAUUGGAACUGAGAUACGGCCCAGACUACAACGGGAGGCAAGGGAGGGGAAGAGUGCACAGGAGGCGGAAGGCAAGUGUAGCAAAGCCGCGUGGGGGAUGACGUCAUGCGGGUAGGGAUGCGCUUUCGCUUGUGACGAAGCGUGAGUGACGGUAAUGGGUAAAGAAGCACCGGCUAACUACGUG
Molecule: ribosomal RNA, 468 nt
Filed under: uncultured bacterium
Lineage: Bacteria
Description: partial 16S ribosomal RNA
Rfam family: Bacterial small subunit ribosomal RNA
Source: RNAcentral